Molecule: long non-coding RNA, 713 nt
Organism: Seriola aureovittata
Lineage: Eukaryota; Metazoa; Chordata; Actinopteri; Carangiformes; Carangidae
Exons: 3
Source: RefSeq, a predicted model, not a curated record
CCUCACACUCCCGGUCAGAGGUUUGAGAAAACUCCCGCUGUUCCUGUUUUUAUUGAAAUUUCAGCAGCUCGACUCCAGUGAAAACAUUCAAAAGGAUUAAAAGGCAAUGGAUCAGUGUGAGGAGGAGGAGGAGGAGGAAGAGGAGGAGGAGGUUGACCCCCCCCCCCCCCCCCACCACGGGGUGCUUCAGCUGGAGUAUCCCACACUGCUGCAAACAUGAUGGUGCAGCUGCAGCAUCUCAAGAGGAAUCCUCGCAGGCGAGGCGUAUUGUUGCGUUCAGUCGGUGGUUACCGUGGCAGCAGCUCCCCCUUUGAUCCUCCUCUGACUCAGGCAGAUUGGAUGAUCCCUUUUUCUGUGUUUUAUCACGGUCUGAGCCCGAGUCUCCGUCCUGCUGCGGCCGGUGAUGAACACGCCACACAGAGCCGACGCCCCGGGGAGCAAACUCAGCUGCCACCGCCGCCGGAGAGACGGAGGAGGAGUCCACAGGUCGUUUUGGAGGCUGUGAUCUUUAAUAUUCUUUGACUAGUCCGCGACAUAAACGAACGAAUGAAGCUUUACAAGUUUAUUAUACUAAACUCAGAAACUAAAUAGGAAAUAAACUGAAUGAAUGAAUUCAUGAUUAAACUAAAAGAUUAAAAUAAAACUCCAAUUUAGCGACUGAAUGCAGGAACUCAUCUGAGAAACUGAAGCUUUAAUUAAAGAUCUAAACUCGA